This is a long non-coding RNA of Camelina sativa (false flax), 703 nucleotides long. RefSeq lists it as uncharacterized. NCBI's taxonomy places the organism in Eukaryota, Viridiplantae, Streptophyta, Magnoliopsida, Brassicales, Brassicaceae. The record is from RefSeq and is a predicted model, not a curated record.
CUCAAAUAUUCCAUAUUUAGCACAAAUUUAAUAUAAUUAAAUACUUUUAAUUUUAAGAAAACUCUAAAAUAUCAAUAUCUUCUAUCUCUCUCGUCUUCGCUUUGUUCUCGUUGCCGAAGACCAUCUCCGACGUUCGUUGUCACUGGAGUCUCCAUUUCUUCCAUCUCCACGGAUCCAAGAUUCCAGUGGCUGCCGAGAUGUGUAUUUACAAUCAAAAUCUACAUCAAAAACAUCUUCAUUCACCAGAUUCUGAUCAACAACCAGAGUUUAUUUAAGCUAAUCAGUCUACGAUAGUGUGUGGCGGCGGAGAGUCCUCCGGUGACAACAAUAGCGGAUGACUGGGAGAAAGUAUAGCUAGGUUUUUAGGAGGUGUUGCUUUACUCAAAGGAAUAAAUGGAUUUUAUACAGAUGCAACUAAAAAGAGGCCAAGAAUUUAAUAGAUGCGGUUGGGGAUUUCAAAGAAGAAAGAAACAGUGUAUGGAAGUUGAGUAUGUUGUUCCAAAAAAGAAACAUAGAGUUGAUGAUGAACAAGAUGUUCCAUGGCAGAGCACUUAACAUGUUUAAAUCAACCUGAAUUUAAGCAAGAACUCUUUAAGAUGUAAUUUUUUUUAACUAUUAUUUUAUAAAGACCAUCAUGAAUUUCAAGAAGUCAUUCCUAGAUAUUAUUGAACUCUUCAUAAAUUUUAAAUUUAUGUGUUUCUGA